Molecule: ribosomal RNA, 460 nt
Filed under: uncultured bacterium
Lineage: Bacteria
Description: partial 16S ribosomal RNA
Rfam family: Bacterial small subunit ribosomal RNA
Source: RNAcentral
CCUACGGGAGGCUGCAGUGAGGAAUAUUGGUCAAUGGGCGUAAGCCUGAACCAGCCAAGUCGCGUGAGGGAUGAAGGUUCUAUGGAUCGUAAACCUCUUUUAUAAGGGAAUAAAGUGUGGGACGUGUCCUAUUUUGUAUGUACCUUAUGAAUAAGGAUCGGCUAACUCCGUGCCAGCAGCCGCGGUAAUACGGAGGAUCCGAGCGUUAUCCGGAUUUAUUGGUUUUAACGGGUGCGUAGGCGGCCUUUUAAGUCAGCGGUGAAAGUCUGUGGCUCAACCAUAGAAGUGCCGUUGAAACUGGGGGGCUUGAGUAUGGUUGAGGCAGGCGGAAUGAGUGGUGGAGCGGUGAAAUGCUUAGAUAGCACGAAGAACCCCGAUUGCGAAGGCAGCCUGCCAAGCCAUGACUGACGCUGAUGCACGAAAGCGUGGGGAUCAAACAGGAUUAGAUACCCGAGUAGUC